Molecule: ribosomal RNA, 350 nt
Filed under: uncultured bacterium
Lineage: Bacteria
Description: bacterial SSU rRNA
Rfam family: Bacterial small subunit ribosomal RNA
Source: RNAcentral
UGGGGAAUCUUAGACAAUGGGCGAAAGCCUGAUCUAGCCAUGCCGCGUGAGUGAUGAAGGCCCUAGGGUCGUAAAGCUCUUUCAACUGUGAAGAUAAUGACGGUAGCAGUAGAAGAAACCCCGGCUAACUCCGUGCCAGCAGCCGCGGUAAUACGGAGGGGGUUAGCGUUGUUCGGAAUUACUGGGCGUAAAGCGUACGUAGGCGGAUUAAUAAGUUAGAGGUGAAAUCCCAGGGCUCAACCCUGGAACUGCCUUUAAAACUGUUAGUCUUGAGAUCGAGAGAGGUGAGUGGAAUUCCAAGUGUAGAGGUGAAAUUCGUAGAUAUUUGGAGGAACACCAGUGGCGAAGGC